GUAGGUGGCAAGCGUUGUCCGGAAUUAUUGGGCGUAAAGCGCGCGCAGGCGGUUCUUUAAGUCUGAUGUGAAAGCCCACGGCUCAACCGUGGAGGGUCAUUGGAAACUGGAGAACUUGAGUACAGAAGAGGAAAGCGGAAUUCCACGUGUAGCGGUGAAAUGCGUAGAGAUGUGGAGGAACACCAGUGGCGAAGGCGGCUUUCUGGUCUGUAACUGACGCUGAGGCGCGAAAGCGUGGGGAGCAAACAGGGAUUAGAUACCCUGGUAGUCCACGCCGUAAACGAUGAGUGCUAAGUGUUAGGGGGGGUUUUCCGCCCCCCUUAGUGCUGCAGCUAACGCAUUAAGCACUCCGCCUGGGGAGUACGGCCGCAAGGCUG
RNAcentral lists this ribosomal RNA (377 nucleotides) under uncultured organism. RNAcentral's name for it is "partial 16S ribosomal RNA". It matches the Rfam family "Bacterial small subunit ribosomal RNA", at positions 527 to 896 of the family's 1533-position model. The record is from RNAcentral.